This 1028-nucleotide ribosomal RNA is filed under the name uncultured Actinomycetes bacterium. Its description in RNAcentral is "bacterial SSU rRNA". It matches the Rfam family "Bacterial small subunit ribosomal RNA", at positions 231 to 1276 of the family's 1533-position model. The record is from RNAcentral. Lineage: Bacteria; Bacillati; Actinomycetota; Actinomycetes.
UCGCGGCCUAUCAGCUUGUUGGUGAGGUAACGGCUCACCAAGGCAUCGACGGGUAGCUGGUCUGAGAGGAUGAUCAGCCACACUGGAACUGAGACACGGUCCAGACUCCUACGGGAGGCAGCAGUGGGGAAUAUUGCACAAUGGGCGCAAGCCUGAUGCAGCGAUGCCGCGUGCGGGAUGAAGGCCCUAGGGUUGUAAACCGCUUUCAGCAGGGAAGAAAAUGACGGUACCUGCAGAAGAAGGUGCGGCCAACUACGUGCCAGCAGCCGCGGUGACACGUAGGCACCAAGCGUUGUCCGGAUUUAUUGGGCGUAAAGAGCUCGUAGGCGGUUCGGUAAGUCGGGUGUGAAAACUCUGGGCUCAACCCAGAGACGCCACCCGAUACUGCUGUGACUUGAGUACGGUAGGGGAGUGGGGAAUUCCUGGUGUAGCGGUGAAAUGCGCAGAUAUCAGGAGGAACACCAGUGGCGAAGGCGCCACUCUGGGCCGUAACUGACGCUGAGGAGCGAAAGCAUGGGUAGCAAACAGGAUUAGAUACCCUGGUAGUCCAUGCCGUAAACGUUGGGCACUAGGUGUGGGUCUCAACCAACGAGAUCCGCGCCGUCGCUAACGCAUUAAGUGCCCCGCCUGGGGAGUACGUUCGCAAGACUAAAACUCAAAGGAAUUGACGGGGACCCGCACAAGCAGCGGAGCGUGUUGCUUAAUUCGAUGCAACGCGAAGAACCUUACCUGGGUUUGACAUGUCGGGAAAAGCUCUAGAGAUAGGGUGUCCUUCGGGGCCCGACACAGGUGGUGCAUGGCUGUCGUCAGCUCGUGUCGUGAGGUGUUGGGUUAAGUCCCGCAACGAGCGCAACCCUUAUCCUGUGUUGCCAGCAAGUAAUGUUGGGGACUCGCAGGAGACUGCCGGGGUCAACUCGGAGGAAGGUGGGGAUGACGUCAAGUCAUCAUGCCCCUUAUGCCCAGGGCUGCAAACACGCUACAAUGGCCGGUACAGAGGGCUGCGAUCCCGCGAGGGUGAGCGAAUCCCA